GUUAUAUGGUCAAGUGAAGAAGCGCAUACGGUGGAUGCCUUGGCAGUCAGAGGCGAUGAAAGACGUGGUAGCCUGCGAUAAGCUUCGGGGAGUCGGCAAACAGACUUUGAUCCGGAGAUCUCUGAAUGGGGGAACCCACCCAGCAUAAGCUGGGUAUCAUGCACUGAAUACAUAGGUGUAUGAGGCGAACCAGGGGAACUGAAACAUCUAAGUACCCUGAGGAAAAGAAAUCAACCGAGAUUCCCUUAGUAGUGGCGAG
Molecule: ribosomal RNA, 259 nt
Rfam family: Bacterial large subunit ribosomal RNA